RNAcentral lists this long non-coding RNA (218 nucleotides) under Spirodela polyrhiza (greater duckweed). RNAcentral's name for it is "long non-coding RNA (SPOL_LNC000018)". Lineage: Eukaryota; Viridiplantae; Streptophyta; Magnoliopsida; Alismatales; Araceae. The record is from RNAcentral.
UCGUCGCUUCAUUUCUUUCCACGUCGUCGCUUCUCUGUAUCAUCAGCGCAUUGGUCUUCCCUCGGACUUCUCUGUUACUUUCUUCUUCAUUUUUAUUCCCACAGUAAAAAGAAUGCGGAUGCGGAAGCAGAAGACUCCGUUGAAAAUGCCGGCUAUCGUCGAGCAGAAAAAUCUAUUUCAUCGCCCGGUAUGACGCCAUAUUUGAGGAAAUAUCUUCC